Oryzias melastigma (Indian medaka) is the source of this 135-nucleotide small nucleolar RNA. Ensembl annotates it as small nucleolar RNA SNORD94. NCBI's taxonomy places the organism in Eukaryota, Metazoa, Chordata, Actinopteri, Beloniformes, Adrianichthyidae. The record is from Ensembl.
GCAGGAGUGAUGAGAAGCGCAGGGGUACGGACCUCAGCCGCUGAUGGGGGCUGAGCGCUGCUGCAGAGGCUGUCAGGAACAUGUGGUUCACUGUCAGACCAGCAGCAGCGUGACACAGACGCCACGCUGACCUGC